GAAUGAAGAACGUAGCGAAAUGCGAUACGUAAUGUGAAUUGCAGAAUUCAGUGAAUCAUCGAAUCUUUGAACGCAUAUUGCGCUCUCUGGUAUUCCGGAGAGCAUGCUUGUUUGAGUAUCAGUAAACACCUCAACUUCCAUAUCUUUUUUGAAAUGGGAGUUGGACUUGAGUGAUCCCAACGCUUUUCCUCACCGAAAAGUGGCGGGUUACUUGAAAUGCAGGUGCAGCUGGACUUUUCUCUGAGCUAUAAGCAUAUCUAUUUAGUCUGCCUAAAAAACAGAUUAUUACCUUUGCUGCAGCUAACAUAAAGGAGAUUAGUUCUUGUGCUGACUGAUGCAGGAUUCACAAAGACGGCUUCGGCCGACUUUGUAAACUCGAUCUCAAAUCAAGUAAGACUACCCGCUGAACUUAAGCAUAUCAAUAAGCGGAGGA
Molecule: unclassified non-coding RNA, 433 nt
Filed under: soil metagenome
Description: partial contains 5.8S ribosomal RNA, internal transcribed spacer 2, and large subunit ribosomal RNA
Rfam family: 5.8S ribosomal RNA (bases 3-121)
Source: RNAcentral